Molecule: ribosomal RNA, 357 nt
Filed under: uncultured bacterium
Lineage: Bacteria
Description: bacterial SSU rRNA
Rfam family: Bacterial small subunit ribosomal RNA
Source: RNAcentral
GGGCCCGCACAAGCAGUGGAGCAUGUGGUUUAAUUCGAUGCAACGCGAAGAACCUUACCAGGCCUUGACAUCCUCGGAACUUUCUAGAGAUAGAUUGGUGCCUUCGGGAACCGAGUGACAGGUGCUGCAUGGCUGUCGUCAGCUCGUGUCGUGAGAUGUUGGGUUAAGUCCCGUAACGAGCGCAACCCUUGUCCUUAGUUGCCAGCACAUUAUGGUGGGAACUCUAAGGAGACUGCCGGGGUCAACUCGGAGGAAGGUGGGGAUGACGUCAAAUCAUCAUGCCCCUUAUGUCUUGGGCUUCACGCAUGGCUACAAUGGCCGGUACAGAGGGCUGCCAAUACCGCAAGGUGGAGCGAA